UUCAUGUAUUAGUCUUUGUCUAUACAAUUGUACGAUGAAUUGACUUUUAUUGUUUAUAUGUUUGUUAAUUUAGGAAAAUGAAUCACCCUGAUAAUCAUGUGAAUGAUAAUGCUAAUCUGGAUGAGAUUGUUGAAAAUUAUAAUGCUCCGCUGUGGAAGUAUGUCAAAAAGCUCGAAAAAGUGGGAAAUAGAGGAGGAGGAAAUACUAAAUUUGAGUGCAAUUAUUGUCAAAAAACUUAUAAAGGAUCCUACUCUAGGGUCAAGUUUCAUUUGUUAAAAAUGUCUGGAAAUGGGAUCGCGCCUUGCAACAAGGUUACUUAUGAAACUCUUGCGGAAAUGAAUAAGUUAGUUCGAGAGUGUGAAUACAAGUUGAAGAGUUCUGCUCCUAAACAUGUUUCGUUGCCCAAUACUGGUUCAUUCUGUUAUGAUCUACCUGAAGCAAAUCUUGAUCCAAAGAAGAGAAAGGGAACAAGUGGGCCUAUCAGUAAAGCUUUUAACAAGGAGGCUCGAGAUCAAUGUGAUGCCGAAGUUGCAAGGAUGUUUUAUACAGGUGGCUUAUCAUUUAACCUUGCAAGAAAUCCGCACUAUCGGAACUCAUAUGUUCGUGCUUCUACACUUCCAGGGUAUGUCCCACCAGGUUACAACGCACUGAGAACUACUCUUCUGCAACAAGAGAAGAGUCACAUUGAGCGGUGCCUCCAACCAAUCAAGCGCACAUGGAGCACUAAAGGUGUAAGUGUUUGCAGUGAUGGGUGGACAGAUGCUCAAAGGAGACCACUUAUUAAUAUUAUGGCAGCUUGUGAAAGUGGGCCAAUGUUCUUGAGAGCAAUUAAUUGUGAAGGUGAAUACAAAGACAAGCAUUGUAUUGCCAACUUUCUUACAGAAGCUAUUAAAGAAAUUGGUCAUGAAAAUGUUGUUCAAGUGAUCACCGAUAAUGCUCCUGUUUGUAAAGCUGCUGGGUUACUUAUUGAGGCCCACUAUCCCCAUAUCUUUUGGACACCCUGUGUUGUUCACACUCUUAAUCUUGCUUUGAAGAGUAUAUGUACUCCGAAACAAACAGAAGUUUCCUAUGAUGACUGCAAUUGGAUUUCAACUAUUGCUAGUGAUGCUUGGUCCAUAAAAAAUUUUAUUAUGAACCAUAGCAUGAGAUUGUCAAUGUUUAAUGAACAUUGCAAACUAAAGUUACUUUCCAUUGCCGAAACAAGGUUUGUUUUCUCCACUUUUUUUUUUUUCUUUCCUUAUUUAAUUAUAAGUUGUCCUAAUUUUUAAAUUUUUCAGAUUUGCUUCCACACUUGUGAUGCUUAGAAGAUUGAAGGAAAUAAAGGAAGGUUUACAACAAAUGGUGAUUAGCCUGAAUUGGGCUUUGUACAAAGAAGAUGAUUUGGUUAAAGCAAUGAUGGUGAAGCAAAAGAUAUUGGAUGAAGAUUUUUGGGAGAAGAUUGAUUAUAUUCUUUUCUUUACAGCUCCAAUAUAUGAGGUUAUUAGAAUGGCUGACACAGAUAAACCUUGUCUUCACUUGGUGUAUGAGUGGUGGGAUGCUAUGAUUGAAAAGGUGAAAGCUGCUAUAUACAGGAAUGAGCGCAAGGCAUUACAUGAAAAAAGCAGCUUUUUUGAUGCGGUGUAUCGCAUUUUAUUGGAGCGAUGGACUAAAAGUAGCACACCACUUCAUUGUUUGGCACAUUCAUUAAAUCCAAGGUAUUAUAGUUCAGAAUGGCUCCAAGAAGACCCUAGUCGUCUUGCUCCACACCGAGAUGUUGAACUUACAAUUGAAAGGAAAAAGUGCUUUGAGAGAUACUUUUCCAAUGAGGAAAUUAGAAGAAAUAUCAAUGUGGAGUAUGCCUCUUUCUCUAUGUGCUUGAAUGACUUUGGAGCUAUUGAUUCUAUGAAUGAUAGAUUUCAUUUGGAACCAGUGAUGUGGUGGAUUGUCCAUGGAGCUUCUACACCUAGUCUCCAAUCCAUAGCGUUGAAGCUACUUGGACAACCUUGUUCCUCCUCUUGUUGUGAAAGAAAUUGGAGCACUUAUAGUUUUAUUCACUCUUUAAGAAGGAACAAGAUUACACCACAAAGAGCUGAGGAUUUGGUAUUUGUGCAUAAUAAUCUUCGUCUUUUAUCAAGGAAUAGCUCAACCUACAAGGAAGGUAUUACCCAAUUGUGGGAUGUUGGAGGAGAUGGCUUUGAAAACUUGGGUGAAGAAAGUGUCGGGAUGCUUGAAAUAGCUAACCUUUCACUUGAUGAACCGUCAUUGGAGACUACUUUAGUUACUGGAGGAGACAUCAUGAAUGUGGAAGUUGAAUGAGACUUUGCUUUUUUUAAUUUUCGUUUGGAUUUUCAUUUUAAUUUUUCAAGUUUGAAGACUAAUUGCUUGUUGGAUGGACUAUCUUUCUAACUGUUAGGAGUUUAUUGAAAUAAAUUUAAACUUGAGUAAUAAA
RNA transcript from Pyrus x bretschneideri (Chinese white pear), 2428 nucleotides. RefSeq lists it as uncharacterized. Lineage: Eukaryota; Viridiplantae; Streptophyta; Magnoliopsida; Rosales; Rosaceae. The transcript is spliced from 2 exons. The record is from RefSeq and is a predicted model, not a curated record.